RNAcentral lists this ribosomal RNA (460 nucleotides) under uncultured bacterium. RNAcentral's name for it is "partial 16S ribosomal RNA". It matches the Rfam family "Bacterial small subunit ribosomal RNA", at positions 338 to 795 of the family's 1533-position model. The record is from RNAcentral.
CCUACGGGUGGCAGCAGUGAGGAAUAUUGGUCAAUGGGCGGAAGCCUGAACCAGCCAAGUAGCGUGCGGGAUGAAGGCCCUACGGGUCGUAAACCGCUUUUGCACGGGGAUAACACCCUCCACUUGUGGAGGUCUGCAGGUACUGUACGAAUAAGGAUCGGCUAACUCCGUGCCAGCAGCCGCGGUAAUACGGAGGAUCCAAGCGUUAUCCGGAUUUAUUGGGUUUAAAGGGUGCGUAGGCGGAUUGAUAAGUUAGAGGUGAAAUGUCCGGGCUCAACUCGGGAACUGCCUCUAAUACUGUUGAUCUAGAGAGUAGAUGCGGUAGGCGGAAUGUAUGGUGUAGCGGUGAAAUGCUUAGAGAUCAUACAGAACACCGAUUGCGAAGGCAGCUUACCAAUCUAUAUCUGACGUUGAGGCACGAAAGCGUGGGGAGCAAACAGGAUUAGAUACCCUUGUAGUC